This 406-nucleotide ribosomal RNA is filed under the name uncultured bacterium. Its description in RNAcentral is "partial 16S ribosomal RNA". It matches the Rfam family "Bacterial small subunit ribosomal RNA", at positions 29 to 526 of the family's 1533-position model. The record is from RNAcentral.
AUUGAACGCUGGCGGCAGGCCUAACACAUGCAAGUCGAGCGAGCGGCGGACGGGUGAGUAAUGUCUGGGAAACUGCCUGAUGGAGGGGGAUAACUACUGGAAACGGUAGCUAAUACCGCAUACCAUCAGAUGUGCCCAGUGGGGAUUAGCUAGACGGUGGGGUACUGGCCAACCUAGGCGACGCUCCCGAGCUGGUCUGAGAGGAUGACCAGCAACACUGGAACUGAGACACGGUCCAGACUCGUACGGGAGGCAGCAGUGGGGAAUAUUGCACAAUGGGCGAAAGCCUGAUGCAGCAAUGCCGCGUGAGUGAAGAAGGCCUUCGGGUUGUAAAGCACUUUCAGCGGGGAGGCGUUACCCGCAGAAGAAGCACCGGCUAACUCCGUGCCAGCAGCCGCGGUAAUUC